Molecule: long non-coding RNA, 267 nt
Filed under: Amborella trichopoda
Lineage: Eukaryota; Viridiplantae; Streptophyta; Magnoliopsida; Amborellales; Amborellaceae
Description: long non-coding RNA (ATRI_LNC004697)
Source: RNAcentral
AUCCACCAUUCUUAACACCGUGACCAAAGGGGCAGUGGCCUCUACAACACUGGAACAUCGAGACCAGAACCGCCUAUUUGAGACUAUGUUGUCCACUUUUAUACCGGUACUGGACUUCGAGAGGCGGUCAUUUAACCACUCUUCACAGGUAAACAAUCUCUUUAAUGCACCUUCAGAUUCUCGAAUGGAGUCCACAGCUAAGUAAUCGGUCGCAAAGCGGGUUAUGGCAGGCCUGAUUAUCUCUUUUUUCUUAGAGUGUUCUCUAAA